Molecule: long non-coding RNA, 391 nt
Organism: Selaginella moellendorffii
Lineage: Eukaryota; Viridiplantae; Streptophyta; Lycopodiopsida; Selaginellales; Selaginellaceae
Exons: 3
Source: RefSeq, a predicted model, not a curated record
UCCCUUUCCCUCCAUUUUGCGGAGCUCAGCAGCAGAAGCUCGCAAGGUAAGCGCCCUGGCAAGCUUGAUGGGGCCGUGUGGUCGGGUCGGGAUCAUCUUUUUCUUCACGAACAGCUUCAGAUUGCAGAGACAUCGAUUACUCUCCCGGGAGGAAGACUGGAUUGUACAAUGUAAUCACUCCAGUUCUUUGGGGCGAACUGAUGACCCGAGUCACCCGCAUGGCGUCUACAAGAGCCGAGCGACAAUCCCUCGUUCAAGAAGCACAUCAAAAGACUAAAGUCUUUCUUCGGUUGAUCUGGAGACUAGACUUUGCAGUUGAAUUCUCGUCCGUGUUUCUCCCGCGGUGGAUUAUCACUUAGGACUUACGACGAAUAACCAAAAGGCCUUGGAA